Molecule: unclassified non-coding RNA, 442 nt
Filed under: Hevea brasiliensis (rubber tree)
Lineage: Eukaryota; Viridiplantae; Streptophyta; Magnoliopsida; Malpighiales; Euphorbiaceae
Source: RNAcentral
ACAGAGCGGUUCGCUGGUGGUGGCGCUUUGCCUCCUCGCCGCCGCCGCCACCGGCUCUUGGGCUAGCAGGUUUGAUCAGCAAGUUCUCCAACUCCCAAGUGAAGGUGGGCUCACGUCACUGUACGAUGGAGGAACAACCUUGCAGAGCUCCUCUCCAUGCUGCGAUAAUUGUGGGCUCUGCUUAGGUUCCAAGUGCAGGUGUGCUGACGCCUUCAAAGCCUGCCCUUCAUGGUGUAAGCUCUGCACACCGCAAGUACUCCCUCUCUUCACCUUCACCUGCCUCGACUUAAUAGACAACCUCUGCGACACCAAGUGUAAUCCUCCAUUGUCUCCGCCGCCACCACCAUCCCCACCACCACCGCCAUCUCCAUUUCCUCCGCCACCUCCAUCUCCGUCUCCACCGCCUCCUCCUUCUCCACCCCCACCUCCAUCUCCGUCUCCA